Oncorhynchus keta (chum salmon) is the source of this 699-nucleotide long non-coding RNA. RefSeq lists it as uncharacterized. The transcript is spliced from 4 exons. The record is from RefSeq and is a predicted model, not a curated record. Lineage: Eukaryota; Metazoa; Chordata; Actinopteri; Salmoniformes; Salmonidae.
GAGAGAGAGAAUCAAGGAUAAUUAUGUGUGUACAUUGAUGGAACUCAGGGUAACGUUGUGUCAGGGUAAUGUUGAUAUAUCUCAGGGUAUGUCAGGGUAACGUUGAUAUCUCUCAGGGUAUGUCAGGGUAACGUUAAUAUAUCUCAGGGUAUGUCAGGUUAACAUUGAUGUUUGUUAGGGUAUGUCAGGGUAACAUUGAUGAAUCUCAGGGUAUGUCAGGGUAACAUUGAUGAAUCUCAGGGUAUGUCAGGGUAACAUUGAUGGAUCUCAGGGUAUGUCAGGGUGACAUUGAUGAAUCUCAGGGUAUGUCAAGGUAACAUUGAUGAAUCUCAGGGUAUGUCAGGGUAACAUUGAUGAAUCUCAGGGUAUGUCAGGGUAACAUUGAUGAAUCUCAGGGUAUGUCAGGGUAACAUUGAUGAAUCUCAGGGUAUGUCAGGGUGACAUUGAUGAAUCUCAGGGUAUAUCAAGGUGACAUUGAUGAAUCUCAGGGUAUGUCAAGGUGACAUUGAUGAAUCUCAGGGUAUAUCAAGGUGACAUUGAUGAAUCUCAGGGUAUGCCAAGGUAACAUUGAUUAAUUCAGGGUAACAUUGUAAGCUAGUCCAACAAAUGUCCAAAACAUUUUUUUUUUAAUAUUGUAAGGCCUUCGGCCUGAAAGUGACAGAGAUACUAUAGUCAACCCCUAAAUUGAUGAGAAGAGGU